RNAcentral lists this unclassified non-coding RNA (280 nucleotides) under Ascomycota sp. Its description in RNAcentral is "partial contains 5.8S ribosomal RNA, internal transcribed spacer 2, and large subunit ribosomal RNA". The stretch from base 1 to 71 matches the Rfam family "5.8S ribosomal RNA", at positions 84 to 154 of the family's 154-position model. Lineage: Eukaryota; Fungi; Ascomycota. The record is from RNAcentral.
GUGAAUCAUCGAAUCUUUGAACGCACAUUGCGCCCCUUGGUAUUCCGAGGGGCAUGCCUAUUCGAGCGUCAUUAUCACCCCUCAAGCUUUAGCUUGGUGUUGAGGCCUGCUGUCAAGGCAGCCUCUAAAAUCAGUGGCAGUGCUGUCAGGCUCUAAGCGUAGUAAAAUUCAUCGCUAUAGACACCGGAUGGACACUCGCCAGAACCCCCCAUCUUUUAAUGAUUGACCUCGGAUUAGGUAGGGAUACCCGCUGAACUUAAGCAUAUCAAUAAGCGGAGGA